RNAcentral lists this ribosomal RNA (292 nucleotides) under uncultured bacterium. RNAcentral's name for it is "partial 16S ribosomal RNA". It matches the Rfam family "Bacterial small subunit ribosomal RNA", at positions 505 to 796 of the family's 1533-position model. The record is from RNAcentral.
GUGUCAGCAGCCGCGGUAAGACAGAGGGUGCAAACGUUGUUCGGAAUUACUGGGCGUAAAGCGCGUGUAGGCGGCGACGCAAGUCGGAUGUGAAAGCCCAUGGCUCAACCAUGGAAGUGCACCCGAAACUGCGUCGCUAGAGUCUCGGAGAGGAAGGUGGAAUGCUUGGUGUAGAGGUGAAAUUCGUAGAUAUCAAGCGGAACACCGGUGGCGAAGGCGGCCUUCUGGACGAGUACUGACGCUGAGACGCGAAAGCGUGGGUAGCAAACAGGAUUAGAUACCCUCGUAGUCC